Non-coding RNA from Bos taurus (domestic cattle), 73 nucleotides. Lineage: Eukaryota; Metazoa; Chordata; Mammalia; Artiodactyla; Bovidae. The record is from Rfam.
UCCCUGGUGGUCCAGUGGUUAGGACUCAGGGCUUUCACUGCUGGGGGCCUGGGUUCAAUCCUUAGUCAGGGAA